RNAcentral lists this ribosomal RNA (454 nucleotides) under uncultured bacterium. Its description in RNAcentral is "bacterial SSU rRNA". It matches the Rfam family "Bacterial small subunit ribosomal RNA", at positions 340 to 786 of the family's 1533-position model. The record is from RNAcentral.
UACGGAAGGCAGCAGUGGGGAAUAUUGCACAAUGGGCGAAAGCCUGAUGCAGCUAUGCCGCGUGUAUGAAGAAGGCCUUAGGGUUGUAAAGUACUUUCAUCGGGGAGGAAAAACAAAACUAAUAAUUUUAUUUCUUGACGUUACCCGAAAAAGAAGCACCGGCUAACUCCGUGCCAGCAGCCGCGGUAAUACGGAGGGUGCUAGCGUUAAUCAGAAUUACUGGGCGUAAAGAGCACGUAGGUGGUUUUUUAAGUCAGAUGUGAAAUCCCUGGGCUUAACCUAGGAACUGCAUUUUGAAACUGAAAUACUAGAGUAUCGUAGAGGGAGGUAGAAUUCUAGGUGUAGCGGUGAAAUGCGUAGAAUAUCUGGAGGAAUACCUGUGGCGAAAGCGGCCUCCUAAACGAAUACUGACACUGAGGUGCGAAAGCGUGGGGAGCAAACAGGAUUAGAUACC